Molecule: non-coding RNA, 70 nt
Organism: Pangasius djambal
Lineage: Eukaryota; Metazoa; Chordata; Actinopteri; Siluriformes; Pangasiidae
Source: the annotation of a GenBank genome assembly
GGCACUGUAUGCCUAAUGGUUAGAGAGUCGGACUUGUAACCCGAGGGUCAUGAGUUCGAGUCUCAGGCCG